RNAcentral lists this ribosomal RNA (251 nucleotides) under uncultured bacterium. Its description in RNAcentral is "partial 16S ribosomal RNA". It matches the Rfam family "Bacterial small subunit ribosomal RNA", at positions 524 to 776 of the family's 1533-position model. The record is from RNAcentral.
GACGUAGGGCGCGAGCGUUGUCCGGAUUAUUGGGCGUAAAGAGCUCGUAGGCGGCUUGUCGCGUCAACUGUGAAACCCGUGGCUCAACCAUGUGGUCUGCAGUCGAUACGGGCAGGCUAGAAUUCGGUAGGGGAGACUGGAAUUCCUGGUGUAGCGGUGAAAUGCGCAGAUAUCAGGAGGAACACCGGUGGCGAAGGCGGGUCUCUGGGCCGAUAUUGACGCUGAGGAGCGAAAGCGUGGGAGCGAACAGG